AGAGUUUGAUCCUGGCUCAGAUUGAACGCUGGCGGCAUGCUUUACACAUGCAAGUCGAACGGCAGCACGGGGAGCUUGCUCCCGGGUGGCGAGUGGCGCACGGGUGAGUAACGCGUAUCCAACCUGCCCACCACUUGGGGAUAACCUUGCGAAAGUAAGACUAAUACCCAAUGAUAUCUCUAGAAGACAUCUGAAAGAGAUUAAAGAUUUAUCGGUGAUGGAUGGGGAUGCGUCUGAUUAGCUUGUUGGCGGGGUAACGGCCCACCAAGGCGACGAUCAGUAGGGGUUCUGAGAGGAAGGUCCCCCACAUUGGAACUGAGACACGGUCCAAACUCCUACGGGAGGCAGCA
RNAcentral lists this ribosomal RNA (350 nucleotides) under uncultured bacterium. Its description in RNAcentral is "bacterial SSU rRNA". It matches the Rfam family "Bacterial small subunit ribosomal RNA", at positions 8 to 353 of the family's 1533-position model. The record is from RNAcentral.